RNAcentral lists this ribosomal RNA (460 nucleotides) under uncultured bacterium. Its description in RNAcentral is "partial 16S ribosomal RNA". It matches the Rfam family "Bacterial small subunit ribosomal RNA", at positions 338 to 795 of the family's 1533-position model. The record is from RNAcentral.
CCUACGGGGGGCAGCAGUGAGGAAUCUUGGUCAAUGGACGAGAGUCUGAACCAGCCAAGUAGCGUGAAGGAUGACUGCCCUAUGGGUUGUAAACUUCUUUUAUAUGGGAAUAAAACGUUCCACGUGUGGGAUUUUGUAUGUACCAUAUGAAUAAGGAUCGGCUAACUCCGUGCCAGCAGCCGCGGUAAUACGGAGGAUCCGAGCGUUAUCCGGAUUUAUUGGGUUUAAAGGGAGCGUAGGUGGAUUGUUAAGUCAGUUGUGAAAGUGUGCGGCUCAACCGUAAAAGUGCAGUUGAAACUGGCAGUCUUGAGUACAGUAGAGGUGGGCGGAAUUCGUGGUGUAGCGGUGAAAUGCGUAGAUAUCACGAAGAACUCCGAUUGCGAAGGCAGUUCACUGGACUGCAACUGACACUGAGGCUCGAAAGUGUGGGUAUCAAACAGGAUUAGAUACCCGGGUAGUC